Molecule: ribosomal RNA, 253 nt
Filed under: uncultured bacterium
Lineage: Bacteria
Description: partial 16S ribosomal RNA
Rfam family: Bacterial small subunit ribosomal RNA
Source: RNAcentral
UACGAAGGGGGCUAGCGUUGUUCGGAAUUACUGGGCGUAAAGGGCGCGUAGGCGGCCUUCUAAGUCGAACGUGAAAUCCCUGGGCUCAACCCAGGAACUGCGUCCGAUACUGGUUGGCUUGAGUUUGGGAGAGGGAUGCGGAAUUCCAGGUGUAGCGGUGAAAUGCGUAGAUAUCUGGAGGAACACCGGUGGCGAAGGCGGCAUCCUGGACCAAUACUGACGCUGAGGAGCGAAAGCCAGGGGAGCAAACGGG